AAGCAUGCAUGAAUUCUCACAGGGGCGCAGCGACGUCGGCUCUUCUAUGUCACAUGCACACAAGGAGCACAUACAUACAAACAAGAAGGGGAAGCUUUGCUCCUUUUCUCUCUAACUUUCUGCGUUCCAGUGCUUUAUUUCAUAUAGCCGUAUGUUUUAAUAAAAUUA
Non-coding RNA from Caenorhabditis elegans, 168 nucleotides. NCBI's taxonomy places the organism in Eukaryota, Metazoa, Nematoda, Chromadorea, Rhabditida, Rhabditidae. The record is from Ensembl.